UUGCGUGUUAAAGCCUACUGGCGUUGCGCAGGAGGGGGUUACAAGGAUAAUGCAUUUUGGGCGGUAGACCAAAUGAGGAGUUACAAAUGAUUUUCUUAGCUAAAGGUCCCUGGAAAGGGCAACCAAAGAGGGUGAUAGUCCCGUAAG
RNAcentral lists this non-coding RNA (147 nucleotides) under candidate division Kazan bacterium GW2011_GWA1_50_15. The record is from RNAcentral.